UGGGGAAUUUUGGACAAUGGGCGAAAGCCUGAUCCAGCAAUGCCGCGUGUGUGAAGAAGGCCUUCGGGUUGUAAAGCACUUUUGUCCGGAAAGAAAUCCUUGGCUCUAAUACAGUCGGGGGAUGACGGUACCGGAAGAAUAAGCACCGGCUAACUACGUGCCAGCAGCCGCGGUAAUACGUAGGGUGCAAGCGUUAAUCGGAAUUACUGGGCGUAAAGCGUGCGCAGGCGGUUUGCUAAGACCGAUGUGAAAUCCCCGGGCUCAACCUGGGAACUGCAUUGGUGACUGGCAGGCUAGAGUAUGGCAGAGGGGGGUAGAAUUCCACGUGUAGCAGUGAAAUGCGUAGAGAUGUGGGGGAAUACCGAUGGCGAAGGCAGCCCCCUGGGCCAAUACCGACGCUCAUGCACGAAAGCGUGGGGAGCAAACAGGAUUAGAUACCCUGGUAGUCCACGCCCUAAACGAUGUCAACUAGUUGUUGGGGAUUCAUUUCCUUAGUAACGUAGCUAACGCGUGAAGUUGACCGCCUGGGGGAGUACGGUCGCAAGAUUAAAACUCAAAU
This 559-nucleotide ribosomal RNA is filed under the name uncultured bacterium. Its description in RNAcentral is "partial 16S ribosomal RNA". It matches the Rfam family "Bacterial small subunit ribosomal RNA", at positions 355 to 906 of the family's 1533-position model. The record is from RNAcentral.